Molecule: ribosomal RNA, 460 nt
Filed under: uncultured bacterium
Lineage: Bacteria
Description: partial 16S ribosomal RNA
Rfam family: Bacterial small subunit ribosomal RNA
Source: RNAcentral
CCUACGGGUGGCAGCAGUGAGGAAUAUUGGUCAAUGGGCGUAAGCCUGAACCAGCCACGUCGCGUGAGGGAUGAAGGUCCUAUGGAUCGUAAACCUCUUUUAUAAGGAAAUAAAGUGCGGGUCGUGUCUCGUUUUGUAUUUACGUUAUGAAUACGGAUCGGCUAACUCCGUGCCAGCCGCCGCGGUAAUACGGAGGAUCCGAGCGUUAUCUGGAUCUAUUGGGUUUAAAGGGUGCGUAGGCGGCCUUUUAAGUCAGCGGUGAAAGUCUGUGGCUCAACCAUAGAAUUGCUGUUGAAACUGGGAGGCUUGAGUAUGUUAGAGGCAGGCGGAAUGCGUGGUGUAGCGGUGAAAUGCUUAGAUAUCAGGAAGAACCCCGAUGGCGAAGGCAGCCUGCCAAGCCAUGACUGACGCUGAUGCACGAAAGCGUGGGGAUCAAACAGGAUUAGAUACCCUGGUAGUC